This 279-nucleotide ribosomal RNA is filed under the name uncultured bacterium. RNAcentral describes it as "partial 16S ribosomal RNA". It matches the Rfam family "Bacterial small subunit ribosomal RNA", at positions 506 to 784 of the family's 1533-position model. The record is from RNAcentral.
UGCCAGCCGCCGCGGUAAUACGGAGGGUGCGAGCGUUAAUCGGAAUUACUGGGCGUAAAGCGCACGCAGGCGGUUUGUUAAGCUAGAUGUGAAAGCCCUGAGCUUAACUCAGGAACUGCAUUCGAUACUGGAUCGCUAGAGUAUAUUAGAGGAUAGUGGAAUUUCAAGUGUAGCGGUGAAAUGCGUAGAUAUUUGAAGGAACACCAAUGGCGAAGGCAGCUAUCUGGAAUAAUACUGACGCUGAGGUACGAAAGCGUGGGGAGCAAACAGGAUUAGAUA